UACGGAGGAUUCAAGCGUUAUCCGGAUUUAUUGGGUUUAAAGGGUGCGUAGGCGGUCGGAUAAGUUAGAGGUGAAAUCCCGAGGCUCAACUUCGGAAUUGCCUCUGAUACUGUUCGGCUAGAGAGUAGUUGCGGUAGGCGGAAGGUAUGGUGUAGCGGUGAAAUGCUUAGAUAUCAUGAAGAACUCCGAUCGCGAAGGCAAGUGUCCGGGGUGCAACUGACGCUGAGGCUCGAAAGUGCGGGUAUCAAACAGG
RNAcentral lists this ribosomal RNA (253 nucleotides) under uncultured Rikenellaceae bacterium. RNAcentral's name for it is "partial 16S ribosomal RNA". It matches the Rfam family "Bacterial small subunit ribosomal RNA", at positions 524 to 776 of the family's 1533-position model. Lineage: Bacteria; Pseudomonadati; Bacteroidota; Bacteroidia; Bacteroidales; Rikenellaceae. The record is from RNAcentral.